This 448-nucleotide ribosomal RNA is filed under the name uncultured bacterium. Its description in RNAcentral is "bacterial SSU rRNA". It matches the Rfam family "Bacterial small subunit ribosomal RNA", at positions 355 to 796 of the family's 1533-position model. The record is from RNAcentral.
UCGAGAAUUUUUCUCAAUGGGCGAAAGCCUGAAGGAGCGACGCCGCGUGGGGGAUGAAUGGCUUCGGCCCGUAAACCCCUGUCAUUUGCGAACAAGUUGGUUCAUUUAACACCUGAACCAUUGAUAGUAGCGGAAGAGGAAGGGACGGCUAACUCUGUGCCAGCAGCCGCGGUAAUACAGAGGUCCCAAGCGUUGUUCGGAUUCACUGGGCGUAAAGGGUGCGUAGGCGGUUGGAUAAGUCUGAUGUGAAAUCCCGCAGCUUAACUGCGGAACUGCACUGGAAACUGUCCGACUAGAGGAAUGGAGGGGAGACUGGAAUACUUGGUGUAGCAGUGAAAUGCGUAGAUAUCAAGUGGAACACCAGUGGCGAAGGCGAGUCUCUGGACAUUUCCUGACGCUGAGGCACGAAAGCCAGGGGAGCAAACGGGAUUAGAUACCCCCGUAGUCC